UCGAGCGCCUAUUGACGCACGCCCUAGAUCAGAUCCCGCCGACGACUGCCCCUCCUCAGCGUCCUCCCGCCGCCCCUCUCCUUCGAUCUGAUCUCCUUCGCACCCCGCCGUCGCCGGCGACUCCUCGGCGCCUCGCCGUCGCCGUCACAUCAGACGCCGGCCACUCCUCCGCGGCCUCACGCUGUCGUCCUCUCCUUCGCAAGGAACACCCGACCCUUCCUCCGCGGCCUUGUGACGCCGACCACUCCUUCGUGGCCUCACGCCGCCCUCCUCUCCCUCCUUCCUUCGUCCAAGGCCAGGACUUCCCCUCCCUGACCCGAUCUGACGGAGAGAGGGCCAAGCCUUGCCACUCCGGUGGUCACUUUGGCCAAAUCCGGUCGGGGAAGCCGUAGAGACUAAACGUCGGCGCAGCAGCAGCAGUCCUUGCGACGGUGGGUGCCGGAGCUCGUCAAGCAACUCGCCGUCGGCGGCCACGACCACCUCAUUCCCUGCCGUGCGUCUCCGUCAACUACUGUGGCAUUGACGACAGCGAGCUAGGAGCCUACGAGGUAGACGCCCUGCUGACUGUGUCGUCAAGGCCUCCACAUGGCUCCUCUUGCGGCAGACUGCUGGUUGUUUGUCAUGUCCUUGAUCACCCUAAUUUAAUCCAAGUCAGGUUUUUGGGAUGAAUUGAUGACAAGGAGAGCACGUUGGAAAUAGUGGAAGUGGAGACGGGAGAGGAUGAUGGGAACGAUCAAGUACAUCACAAUCAUCGGCAUCAUGUGGCUCUCCUACACCAACGCAAUUCAGGUUUGAUAAUUGAUGAGGGUGGGUGCCAUGGUCGUCUAUGCUGGGCUUCUGCACGAUCACAUCUUCCACAUGUUCGGUGCUGGAGUGGCUGAUCUUGUGGAAGGGUUACGUUUUCCUCUUCUCAUGGAUUUUGACCAUUGUUUUAGAGGGAUUCGGAUAAUGGUUCUGUGAUUUAAAUUAUGAUGGCCUGCAUCAUGCCUCCCUAUAUUUAAGGCAAAUGAUAAUGGAAGUACACCUUCAUGAACAAGCUAGCCGAGGUCUUGGAAUUCCAACCUAGGUAAACAAGUGAACUCAUUUAACGGUUUCCCCUUUUCUGGUGAUGCAGGUAUAGCUCAUUCAUUAAGGGCUACUCAGCUUUGUCUUUUUCUCUCUCUUUGGUGAUUGGAUUAUAUGCUACUCUGUGUUGAAGGAUCUGUUCAUGCUAAAUUUAACAAAUCUUGUCAUGUUUUCAUAAAUUAUCUAUUUGAUCACUCUGCGUGGAACAGUAAACAUUUGUAGCAUGAUCAGGGUUUGAUUAUUUUUAGCAGUGCACAUAACUUCAGAAUAUAAACCAAUGGGGCUAUCUUGUUCGUCUUUCUACUUAUGUAUGUAUACAUAUGGGAUGCUUUGUUAGUUCUGUUGUGCAAAUAAUCAUUCUUUGUGUUGAUGAGCUAUGAUAAUGGCUCCCCAAAUUACAAUACUUGCUAAACGUACACUUUGUUGCGAUGAAAUCCUAUUUAUAAACAGUAUAUUUUCCUAAUGGAUUGUGAUUAAACUUUGUUGCUUUUACCCACUUUGGUGCUGCUUCAGUGUAUCUGUACUAAAUCGUAAAAUAAGAUGAUUGUAUAUUUUGCUUUAUAGUACACCGGUUCAUGAGAAGAACGCUGAGAAGAUUCAGCUUGCUGUGCUAAAUGUCAUUCUGGCUUGACUCGAUAAUAUCGUGGUAACAUGGUGGAAUAUUUUAUUUUUUAUUGUAACAAACUGUAGUCAAAUUCAUCAGAUAUAUAUACUUCCAGGAUCGGAGGAACAAGUAGUUUUAGCCUUCUGUUUUCGAAUUCUUAGUUUAACAUCUCUGUACUUGUUGAAGCUGUUAUCUCCAACUCUACAUGAGCAUAGUGAUAUGCAGUAUAGAACAUCUCCAUUUUUUUCUUCUUUGGUGAGCAUGGAAUAUCCAAAUUGACAUCUAGAGAUAGAUAAGUUGGUAGGGUAACGUUCACUAGCUUUUUUUAGGAUCAAAAUUGAUGUAUUAAUUUUCUUAUCAAAGGAUGAUUAACGGAAUCGUGGUAUUGCGGCCAAAAUAUACUCUCUUCAGUUUGUUGGUAAUGAGCAAAAUGUAGUCCUACUGGUAAUGGGCUUUGGAUUUGUGCGUGAAAUACAUUGUUGCAUGCAUGUUUCCUAAGUGAAAAAUGUAAUGGUUCUGAAUAUAGCUGGAGAUGAAUUAUUUGCAGCAUCCAAACAACAACAGUGGCAUGGAUACAGUUAACAGUACUAGCAAUUGAUGAUAUUGUCAUAGCAAUUUUAAUUUGGAAAAAAUAUGUGCGAGAUUAGUCUUUUCUUUUCUUUCAUGCAAUGAAGAGAGUACAAAGUAUACUACAAUUUUUUGUAACCCACACAAUGAUUCAAGAAGCAGGGCCAAACAGGACCAAUGAAGACGCGUACAGUACUGUUCUUCAUGAUAUGAUGUUAAUUUUUUCCCGCAAAUGAAUUUAAUAUUUAAUUCUUUGUGAGACAACUACUAAAAUGAAGUAGUUUAUAGGUUUGAAAAUUCCAUGUAUUGUGCAUAUUUUUAUGUGCGUACUUGACUCAGAUGCAAGCUAUUCGCAGUACGUAUAUUCUGAAAGAAAACAUGACGUAGCUGCUGAAUGCUCUCUGAAACGUAGCAUAUUUUUUAAAAUACUCUAUUUGCUUUGAAUGAGGUUGCCUUUUGCUUUAAACAAUUAACUGCAUUCUGAAAUACUUUUAAAUUUGGCUAAGAUUAAGAGAUCUAGCAAAUGAGUCCAAGUCUCAAAACCAGGUGCAUCUUGAGUAUUUCUCCUCCACGGCGGGUGGUCCAUCUCCAUCGUGUGGAGUGUUGCUAGAUCAACAACAUCUGGUCUAUUUGAAUGGCACAUUACUGUUCCGAGUCUCCAAGAACCAGGUACAUCUCUCUUGUCUUAGCCUCUUCUGAUUAUCCUUCCUGUUAUUAUGUAGGAAGCAGAUUACCAACUUUCCAAGCUCUAUAUUCAGCCGUCCUUUCUGAUUGCUCAUACAAGUUCAAUAUAUGAACAUGCUUGUUACACUUAGUUCUUCCAGUUUCUUGAGAUAACCAUGUCUCAAGUUUUUGAACAGCUACAGUACCUAUACAGUAAGAAUCGAACUGCAAAGGAGCUGAACCCUCUGUUGUUUCAUGACUCCCUUAUGCCCUUGCGAGGAGCGGCCACCAUUGGGCAGGGACAAAGCCGUUGAGCGCCCUUGCUCGGUGGUCCACCACCCUUCUCGCCUCCCGUUCGACGCCUCUUCUCCACACCCCUUCGUUCGAUGUGCUUCGACUCAUGAUGUACCAGAGUGGAGUCAGUAUAGAUAUCAGAGGUGCACAUGGGGUCCUCUUUAGUUUUUUUCCUUAAUUGUUAACCAUCUCCAAUUUUAUGUCAACUCUACUUAUUCCAGUUUCAUAGUUGGAGGUAUCAAUGCAAUGCUUUUUAUGUAUAGAUAAUACAUCAAUUUAUAUCUAUCGCCCUGAAGAAAAUGUACAUUGCUGAUACAAAUAAUCUUUAUUUAGUUUACAAACAUGUAAUGAAAUCUACACUACGAAUAAGAAGACUGAAGUAUAGGACGCGCUCAGGGGUGUGCGGCAGCCCAUGGCGGGCAAGGCGUGCUGCAGUGGGGUUAUGGCAGCAUUAUGGUCAUGAGAGAGCUAGCAUGCUCAUUGGUAUAAAUUAGUUACCCUCAUGUGGGCUUAUUUUUUAUUCUAAGUAUUAACAUGCCUUCAAAAUAAUUCUGUAAUAGGUAUAUAAUUGCAGGUUGUUGUGUGAGCUGCACCUAAACUGAGAACUGAAACUGCAAUGAAUUACUUGAAACUUGGUGUCUUUAUAUUUGCCCCAUUUGUUGAGGUUCAGUUUCACUAAAAUGGACAGACCAUGAGCUCCUUUAGGAACUUGUUGGGAAAUGUCGCUUGUCUGGAGAGGCUGGAAAUACGAAGACAAGUAUGUGUUUGAUUAUUUUGAAGCUAUUUAACAUAUUAGUGGUGUCAACGAGGGUAAGUCCAGGUUCCACAUGUCAAGCUAUAUCAGUUUUUUCGCAAAGAAAUUUCUCUUUAUACAACAAGACAAUACUUAUUUGUGAUUUUGCAUGCCGUCGUGGAAUUCUAGCGAACAUGUCAAUUUGUUCGUGAUUUCGGACGUACAGUAUUUGGGUCCCAUGCACGAGGAGACGUUGAUAAGUUACUUCAGAUAUACAUAUGGACCGAACUAAAUAUGUAUUUAGAGAUUAUAAAAGUGUGUGUUGUUUUGCAAUAGUUUUAACCCACUCAACUGUAUUAUAAAUGUGCAAAAAAAAAUCUGGCCCGGUGGCAAAGCAGAGUAUUUAGCUAGGUGAGCUAUAGACCAGGAGCUGGUGGGCGGCAGGGCAAGCACGCCGCUUCUCCUCUCUGUCUCCAGAGAGGCGCGUGCGUCGAAAAAUGAACAUAUCUGAGCCACGCGCCUUGCUUCUACUGGUUUCUAUAGAGAUUGGCUCGCUUAGAUUUUAGACUAGGCGGUUGCUGUCGAGGUCGCCAAGGUGAUCCUACAACACUGACAUGGGGAUUGUUCAUGAUUCUAUCUGGACAAGCGGUGGUUGUGAUUGGCUGGGUGGUGGUGUUGCCUUGAGGAGAGACAAAGUGAAGGUAAAAGCAAGCAAGAUCCGAUGGUGCUGCCGUGAGGAUAGCCAAAGUCAAGACGUAGACUACGGACUCGUCGCAACGAACCUCGACGCUACGAGCCUGAUUCAUGGACCAAUGGAGGGUCUUGACGCUGUUAGGGUUCGGAUAGGAUGAAUGUGGGAGGUGACGUGCUUGGUUGAGUGCCCCUGGAAGAUUGUGUCCUCCCCGUGGAUCUGUCUGUGGCCAUCGUAGAGGAGAUUGUGGCCCUUCCCCGACGAGCAAGAACAAUGUAGGCGGCAGCAGGAGGUAGGGGUGGAUGCGGGGAUGGAUGUUGAUGGUUGCUCGAGGUUGCGGUGUGGAAAGUCAAGAGCACGAAGUCGAAAUCGGAUAGGAGUUUGAGUUCUUGUUGGCCGUGGCUGGCUCCCCACUUUAGUGAUGUAUUUUUUUCAGUUUGUUGAACCUAGAGUGCCAUUCGCAACAUGUUUCAGGUGACCCAGAAGUUCCCUUUCAUCAGCAGUUACAGAGCAUUCAGAGUUCCGAGCUCUGUCGACGUCGCCAGCCUUGUGAAAUGCUAACUGGUCGUCGCUUCUUUCGGUGCUGACGGGAAACACGUAGAUGUUACUGGACUGCAAUUACCCGGCGUGCUGGAUGACAUGUUUGCAUACACAGGACCGCUCGGUGCGGUUUUCAGCAAGGACUCUGUGAGCCUGCACCUUUGGGCUCCUACAACACAGGAUGUGAGUGUGUGGUUCUUGGAUGGUCCGCCGGCCCUGCUCUAGAGAUGGUGCAGCUCAAGGAGUCAAAUGGUGUUUGGAGUGUUACUUGACCAAGAGAGUGGGAAAACCGAUACUAUUUAUAUGGAGUUGACGUGUAUCAUCCAACUAAGGCACAAAUUCUGAAAUGUUUAGCUGGUGACCUUUAUGCUAGAGGGUAUGUGGCUGUGCGUAUUUCAGUUAUGUAGUUCAGGGAGAGGAACUUUCAGCAGAAGAAAAAAGUUCAGGGAGAGGAACUUUCAGCAGAAGAAAAAAGUUCAGGGAGAGGAAGAAACUAGCUUGUUGUUUAUUUGAUCAGCCUUUCUGCAAAUGGAGCGCGGACCUGGUUGGUUGACAUUAACAAUGAAACAUUGAAGCCCGCUUCCUGGGAUGAAUUGGCCGAUGAGAAGCCAAAACUUGAUUCCUGCUCUGACAUAACCAUCUAAGAAUUGCACAUUCGUGAUUUUAGUGCCCAUGAUGGCACAGUGGACAUUGACUCUCGUGGAGGAUUUCGUGCAUUUGCAUACUAGGCCUCAGCAGGAAUGUUUGACUCAUGUGCAUUUGUUGCCAAGCUUUCAUUUUGCUGGCGUUGACGACAUUAAGAGCAACUGGAAAUUUUUCGAUAAGGAAAUAUUUCUCUUUAUAAAAGAUGAGUGUGAACUAGCAACAUUCCCUCCAGGAUCAGAUAUGCAACAAGCAGCAGUAGUAGCUAUUCAGGAAGAGGACCCUUUUAAUUGGGGGUAUUCAUUUCACACUUCUUUUUCCCUCAAACAUUCCAGAUACUAAUGUAUCAUGGUGGUGUUAAUAUCGGAAAGUUAAUUAUGUUCUUGCGAGUAAAAUAUUCUUACAUAUGGUCAUAUUUAUGCUAAAGGUAUGACUCUGUGCUUUGGAAGGUUCCAAAAGGAAGCUAUGCAAGUGAUUUCAUCAGGAAAGAGAUGCAGACGAGAGGAAGAGAGCCUCCCCCAAGCUCUGUCUAGGUGAUGCACGGGCGACGGCCACCCUUCCUGUUAUUGCCUCCAUGGCUGACUGCUCAUCCCCAGUAACCUCGCCCCCCCCCCCUCACGUGCGCCACACUCUGGGAUUAAGGUCUGCUCCUUGGCUAGCAUUUGCGCUGACCGAUUCUCUGAUUUCUCUCCACUGAAGAAUCAAAGAAACAAGCAAGCUGAUGUCUAACAUAUUUGUUUCGUAAUAGUUGGAACUGGAAGAGGAAGCUCCAGUACAAUUCAGAUCUCUGCUCAAACCCUCAAUAUCUCAUGCAUACAUAACUGCUUAUUGUGUGAAUAUUAGACGUUACUUGUGCAUCAUCUUCACCCUUUCCUAAUUCAAUAUCUGUAAAAGUAGGCAAAGCUUCCUGUUAUUAUGUGCUAUAAUAUUUUUGAAUUGCUGUCUAGAAAAUACUUGGUCAGUUCUUCCGUAAGAAAGCUGAAGUUGGAUAUUAGGUGCUUUAACAAAGCUACUCCCUCCGUUCACUUUUAUAAGUCAUUUCAGACAACUCAAAAUAAACUACUUUGCACAUUGUCUGAAAUGCCUUCAAGGCCUUAUAAAAGUGAACAGAGGGAGUAAUUCUUUUAAGCAAUUACAUUACCAUUGUUAGAUAUAUUAUUCAGAGCUCACUAAAGUAGAAAGGUUCUGAUGCUUUGACGGUACAGUUUCCUGAGCAUGCUUCAACAUCAUUUGUUUCUGCAUAUCGUUAAUGGUGGGCUUUUCAUGAUUUUUUUUUCUGUUUUUAAAGAUUGUCAAUACAUGCUGCAAGAUACUGUUGAGUUAAUUAAUUUCCUCGAGUCAAACGAAAAUAUGGAAACUGUCAAGGAGAUGUCGAAUGAUGAAUAUAUUCAGAUACUAAGAGAGGUUCUAAAAUGUGUUUUGGCAGGUUAGUCCUGAUCGUGCUUAUUUUUAAACCCGAAACAUUCUUUAUCAUUGGAGGGUUCUCUAUAAUCCCAUAAUUGCGAAGUCAAUUGCUUAAUUUGAUUGAGAGUAAUUGAGUUAAUGCACAUGUUUAUUUUUCUAGAUCGUAUCUUAACUGCUUGGACUCUUCAUGUACACUAAAUGUGAAACUCAUUAUGGUUUGGAAGUGCCUGAUAGCUUGUGACAUAAUUGAUGUAGUUUAUCAAUCAUGCAAUUUGUUGUUAGCAACAUGUACCAGAUUUUGGUAAUUUCCAUUUCAAUAUUGUUUUUUGUUUUCAUAUAUCCUAGAUCAUACUAAGAUACUAAGAGAUUCCUUACUGCAUUAACAUUGGCAUCCAUGGUUACUUCUCUGUAUAUAUGAAAAAUGUACAUCCUCUAGCUCUCAUGCGUUUUAGUCGCUCUUUUCUCUUUAUGCUGUAUCACCAAUGGCGCGCGCGCGAGAGAGAGGGAGGGAGAGAGCGAUGGAGAGGGAGAGGGAGAGGGGUCUAAAUGAUUGUAUCCGUACCAGUUUCAUGUUUCCAUGCAUGUCACAUAGAAAACAGUAUCUUCAUGUGGCAAGUAUCUAAUGCAUAUACAUGAGUUAUAUUAUUUAUCGUAUUCACAUACUAAUAUAUUCAUGAUUUUUUUUGCAUUGUAGAGUGCUAGCACGCUACAUUGGAGAGAAAGCGUUGAGAGAAUGCUUUGUUAGGAUGAUAGACAUGAAUAAUCAAUCCUGAAUCCUCAUUCCAAGGUUAGAUUUGUACUUCCUGCCCAGUUCUUUUUCACGAAGGACCAAGCCUCUUACUUUAUCCAUUUCUUAAUUUUGUUCCUUCACAGAAAAACAUUUUCUCAUUUCAAUCUUUCUCCAUUUGGUAUGAGUAUGACACACGCUCUGAAUUUUUUGACUAUUCUUGGUUGAUUAAUGGUUGGUGUAUUGCCUUCCACUUUGGAUUAUUCUAAAUCUUCUUGCUUAGGCUAUGUGUACCAUUCUGUCAUGUGCCACCAUUGAUCUGAGCAAAAAUCAGUGUAGAUGAACCGAGCUAUUUUAUUAUAAGCUGUGUACAGAACUUCCUGGAAAGAUAACCAUGUAGUUAUUGUUUUAUGCCGUAUAUAUUCAGAUAGGUGAAUUAUCGCAAGUUAGUCCCGGUAUGUUAAUAGGAUUGUGCCAACCUAGAGCCUUUUCAGAUCGUGCCAACUCUGUUUGGGGUUUCCUUCUACCUAAUCAAGGCUUAGCCCAGUUUGUCUUGUCCUUAUCUCCUUUUCUGUCAUAAAUUCUUCAUCUAUUCAAGAAGCUCAUUUUUGUUAGUUGGAACAACUGAAAAAAUCAUACUCCCCCGUUCCUGUAUAUAAAGUCUAAUUGUUUUUUCAAAAGUCAAACGAGUGCAUGUUUGACCAAGUUUUUAGAAAAUAUAUUGAUAUCCACUGUACCAAAUUUAUAUCAUUCGAUCCGUCAUGAAAAGUAGUUUUAUAUUUUAUCUACUAGGUUUUUCAGAUGUUGAUAUUUUAUUCUAUAAUCUUGGUCAAACAUUCGAAUGGUUGACUUGGAGGAUAUCAAUACACCUUAUUUUCUGGAAUGGAGGGAGUAUCAUUCUUGGUGUGACGGACAAAUAGAAAGAAAGGUCCGCAAAGAGUGCACUCACAAAAGCCAUGUACUGUAGGCCAUGAGUGAUUACCUUGAAAGCUUUCUCAUCGAGGCCAUAGUUCCAAACUAUACCAUCCUUUAAGAAACAUUCAAUCAGAAUUGGAGGAAAUGCCAUCCAUUGGGGUUCUGAAGUUCUGAACUUUGAUCUCUCUAUUUGAAUCGUUGUUAUUAUUUUGUCUGUAGGCCAUGAGCAAAUAAUCUGGAGAGUGCCUAAUGUUCCUCAACUUUUCUUAUGUUCCAAAUUCACUAUUAGUGUUGAUCAUCUUCAAAGAACAGAAAACGUAUGACAGGAUUAAGAUUGUAAUUUGUGCUCAUAUUUUUUUCCAAAAUUCACUGCUUGAUUAAUUUUGUUGUAGAAGCUUGAGAGAAAAAGAUAGUAAAUACAUAGUAACUUUAUAUUGAUUUAAGAGUAAUAGCAACACACCUGCUUUUAACUAUAUAUAAAUAUCUCUAUAUUGUUCUAUACUGUCCGUCAGCAAGCGAGCGUUUGAAUUGCUGUUGAUGUGCAUUGUACAUGGGCUUGGCCACUUGGAUCGUGAGACGAGAUCGAUCGAGCCGAAUGCGUCAUCGACGAGGAGGUGAGUUUGGAUUUGGACGGUGAAGAUGAGAAGAUAGUUGGGGAGGAAGAAGGUAUAAAAUCAACAAUAUCGUCUGGUGUGCAUGAGGAUCCUAAUGGUACAUGUUUGACGCGAUCGUUGCUAACCUAAUAAGAUAUGCGGUGGCACGAGGUGGUGGCAUAAAUGGGGCGGUUGUGCUGGAUGUCCAAGGCUGCACUAGGGAGGUGCGAGCGGUGCCUCCCGCAAGAUUCCAUUGGGGCGACGCAUGGGCGGCAGCCACCCCCAAGACCCUGUUAGCACAAUUUCAUAAUAAUAUAUUUAUACUCCCUGUUGUGCAAAAUAGAACGCUAUUGUUUGUAGUUAUAUUAGUUUAUUUCCUCUAUAUACAAUGACACGUCUUAUUAUGUGUCCAAGAGGAAGGAAAAAUAUAUGUUUCUAGGUGUUAUGUGACUUACCUUUAAAAGGAAUAACUCUAAUAAGAAGUCCUGUUUUAGAUGCCGA
This is a long non-coding RNA of Triticum aestivum (bread wheat), 9939 nucleotides long. RefSeq lists it as uncharacterized. NCBI's taxonomy places the organism in Eukaryota, Viridiplantae, Streptophyta, Magnoliopsida, Poales, Poaceae. The transcript has 8 exons. The record is from RefSeq and is a predicted model, not a curated record.